RNAcentral lists this ribosomal RNA (116 nucleotides) under Esox lucius (northern pike). Lineage: Eukaryota; Metazoa; Chordata; Actinopteri; Esociformes; Esocidae. The record is from RNAcentral.
GCUUACGGCCACACCUCCAUGAGCACGCCGAUCUCGUCUGAUCUCGGAGCUAAGCAGGGUCGGGCCCGGUUAGUACUUGGAUGGGAGACCGCCUGGAAUACCAGGUGCUGUAAGCC